CCUACGGGCGGCUGCAGUGGGGAAUAUUGCACAAUGGGCGCAAGCCUGAUGCAGCCAUGCCGCGUGUGUGAAGAAGGCCUUCGGGUUGUAAAGCACUUUCAGCGGGGAGGAAGGCGUUAAGGUUAAUAACCUUGGCGAUUGACGUUACCCGCAGAAGAAGCACCGGCUAACUCCGUGCCAGCAGCCGCGGUAAUACGGAGGGUGCAAGCGUUAAUCGGAAUUACUGGGCGUAAAGCGCACGCAGGCGGUCUGUCAAGUCGGAUGUGAAAAUCCCCGGGCUCAACCUGGGAACUGCAUUCGAAACUGGCAGGCUAGAGUCUUGUAGAGGGGGGUAGAAUCCCAGGUGUAGCGGUGAAAUGCGUAGAGAUCUGGAGGAAUACCGGUGGCGAAGGCGGCCCCCUGGACAAAGACUGACGCUCAGGUGCGAGAGCGUGGGGAGCAAACAGGAUUAGAUACCCUAGUAGUC
RNAcentral lists this ribosomal RNA (466 nucleotides) under uncultured Klebsiella sp. RNAcentral describes it as "bacterial SSU rRNA". It matches the Rfam family "Bacterial small subunit ribosomal RNA", at positions 338 to 795 of the family's 1533-position model. Lineage: Bacteria; Pseudomonadati; Pseudomonadota; Gammaproteobacteria; Enterobacterales; Enterobacteriaceae. The record is from RNAcentral.